Molecule: long non-coding RNA, 3244 nt
Filed under: Homo sapiens (human)
Lineage: Eukaryota; Metazoa; Chordata; Mammalia; Primates; Hominidae
Description: HSALNT0382100
Source: RNAcentral
AGAUAAGAGAAUAAAAGCAGGCUGCGCGAGCCAGCACUGGCAACCAGUUGGGGGUCCACUGCCGCAGUGUGGGAGGUUUGUUCUUUCGCUCUUUGCAAUAAAUCUUGUUACUGCUCACCCUGGGUCCACACUGCUUUUGUGAGUUGUAACACUCACUGGGAAGGUCUGCAGCUUCACUCCUCAAGCCCGGGAGACCGCGAGCCCACCGGGAGAAACGAACAACUCUAGACGCGCCGCCUUAAAAGCGGUAACAUUCACUGCGAAGGUCUGCAGCUUUACUCCUGAGCCAGCGAGACCACGAGCCCACCAGAAGGAAGAAACCCCGAAUACGUCUGAACGUCAGAAGGAACAAACUCCAGAAGCGCCACCUCAAGAGCUGUAACACUCACCGCGAGGGUCCGCGGCUUCAGUCUUGAAGUCAGUGAGACCAAGAACCCACCAAUUCGGGACACAAUACCUAUAAUCCCAGUACUUUAGGAGGCCAGGGCAGGCGGAUCAUCUGAGCUCAGGGGUUGGAGAGGAGCCUGAACAACAUACCGAAACCCCGUCUCUACAAAAAAUACAAAAAUUAACCGGUUGUGGUGGCCGGUGCCGGUAGUUCCAGCUAGUGGGGGACUGCGGAGGUGGGAGCUGAAGCGGGAGGAUCGCUUGAGCCUGGAGGUUGAGGCUGCAGUAAACAGGGAUUGCGUCAGGACACUCCAACCUGGGGAACAGAACGAUGCCCUAAAAGGCUGGCUGAGCUGACUGGAGUCCAAUCUCCUGACUCUCAAUCCUCCACCAUGCCGGAAUCCACUUGCAUUUCUGGCAAGAAGGUUGUUUACGCUCAAGGUCUACAGGGAUGGAAGUGGCACCCAGUGAGAGGGCUCUGCCGAUGGAGCUGUGAAGGCGUCGACCUCAUUCUGACGGGCUUGUUGAGACUGGUCAGCGCCUGGGCAAGAGGGCAGCUGGGAUAUGUCUAUGCCAUGUUUGACCCAUGCUAUUGUUUUUUCCUCCCUUUUUACUUUCUAUCUGUACUCCUCUCCUUCUCUUCCACUCCAUUCCCCUGCCCACCUCCACACUGAAAAUCGAGGCCUUGGGAGGAGAGGUCAAGGGAGGAAAGAAUUCUGGAAAGAAUUCUUCCACACUUUAUAACAAGGAGCCCAGGCACUAGUAUUUUCCUCUUGCCAUCGGCGGCCAGCCAUAAAAAGGGUUGAUCCAUGAGUUGUUUCUCCAACUCUUCGAGCAGCUCAGUUCAUGGCACUGCUAUAGUUUAGACUAACCCGCUCAACAUUGUUAGAAACAUUUAGAAAUGUCUCCCCCUUUGCCGCAAUUUCCCUCUCUCUGCCGGUGUCUGCUCUAACAGCUGGAAGAAAUUUCUCCUUCAUCUGCUAUAUUCAGCCUUUCACUAAGCGCCAUCAAUUUUGCCUUUGAAAUUUCUUUUGUACUGGUCUCCUUCUCUCCUUUCCACCGCUAAUCCCGGGGCCUGUCUCUAGCCCUGUGAUUCUGAACUGUUUAAGAACCUCCUGACAGAGCUCCCUGCCUCUGGCUUCUCCACCUUUGAUCCAUUCUGCACAGCCAAGACAGAUUCAUUUUUCUCAAGCUCUGUUUGCAUCUUAGGAGGCCUCAGCUCAAAACCCCUAGGCUCUCUAAUGUCCUUGGCAUUGCCCAGACAGCUUUCACAGCUCCCUCUCACUCUACCUUCUUCCCAGAUCGUGGCUGCUUUUGCCUCCUGUACUGUUGUAACAAAUCACCACGAACUUGGUGGCUUAAAACAACGGAAACUUAUUCUCUUACAGUUCUGUGGCCAAAAAUCCACACUGAGUCUUAUAGGCCUAGAUCAAGGUGGCAGCAGGGCUGUGAUUCCUUGGGAGGCUCCCAGGGAGAAUUCUCUUUCCUGGCCUCUUCCAGCUUCUCAGGGCUGCAGGCAUUUCUUGGCUUGUGGCCACAUCACUCCAGUCUCUGCCUCAGUGGUCAUAUUGCCUUUUCUUCUCCCUGUAGUGAAAUCUUCCCCUGCUUCCCUCUUAUAAGAUACUUAUAAUUACAUUAGGAGCCCAUCUGGAUAAUCCAGGGUAAUCUCCCCAUCUCAGAAGCCUUAACUUAAUCACAUCUGAAAAAUCCCUUUUCCCAUGUAAAGUAGUAGUUAUAGGCUCCAUGAAAGGGAUGGGGACAUGGAUCUUUGGGGGGACCGUUAUUCAGCCUCUCAUCAUGGCCAGCUUAAUCCUUCCACUUCCCUACUCGCUACUACAACAAGUAUCAGUUGAGUAUCUACUAUGUGCUAGGCACUGUUUUAGGCAAUAGGAAUCAUAAUGACUAAUGAGCCUUUUCGGAUUCAGUCUCCUGCAGGGUGAACUAUCCCUUUCCUGAGCUCUUUACCUCUUAGAGCUUGGUAUCAUUACAUAGCAUGAUCAUCACAUACUAUGUAUGUCUGUGUGUUUGACAUGUGGUUCAUAGCUGGUGAACGGUGCUCUUCGUUUCUAUAGGCAGGUAGGAUGGACGUGCUUCGUAGGGCCUUUCUCCGCAAGCCCUGACAUACACAGCACAGAGAUGGGACAGCCCCCUACUACAUCCUGCCAGAUGUUGCUGGCUUAUUUUAAAAUUAGAAACGCCUAUACAGUACCAUAAACCAGUGAUGCCAACUGGUUUAUACUCCAUAAGUUUGUACUCUUGGAAGUGCUAGGGUUGGUUGCAGCCUAAUAUUUAGGAAGAGUUUUGAAAGGCACUGUGACUUGUAGCUUCACACCUGUCUUCUUAAAAGCCUGGCCCUUUCCCGAUUUCAGGUUGACAUGUGCCUCCUGCAGGCACUGACACUGAGGCCUUACCGGUGACUGUUUCCUUAUUGGUAAGUGUGUUGCUUUCCUAGGUGGAAACUCUCUGAGGAAAAAGAUCACGUUACACGCACACAAGCACACACAUACACAUCUUUGUAACUCUCUGGCCCCCCAUUGGAUCUAGCAAAGAUAACUUGGAUGCUAGAUAUUUGCAUACCAGCCAGUGUUGUCCAGCACUUUCGUUCAACUCUUUGACAACUAUCGUCACAUUCCUAUACUGCUUGUGCUAUCAUUUGAUUAAUGUUUGUAUUUAAUUUGUCUCAACUUUUAGCUUGUGUAAACUUAUUUUAAAAGGAAGCAUUUGCAUCUCUACCAUAAAUAGAAGACCAGAGUCAUUUAUCAUAAAUAAAGCAUAACUGUAAAAAUAAAGAUACUGAAAAUGAAAUAAUGUUAUUCCCCUAAGAAUUAAACAAUAAAAUAUUGAGUAAUAAAAUUGA